ACGCGGGGUAUGAGUUUCGAUGAAACUCACUAUGGUUUAGCAGACUUGAUGUGGGAGUAGCCCAAAGGAUGAAGUGAUGCCAUCCUAAUGGGUGAAGCGUACUAUCGAGAGGGCUACCAUGGUAAAAGUACCCUUAAAUUCGAUAUCCACAUUCGACUCCUUUUUUUAGGUGUGUCGCUUAUGUGGGUAUGGAUCGCGACAUUCCGCUGUCACGCGGGGUACGAGCUUGGGAGAGCUCGCGAUCUCGUAGAGGGAACUCAUGAGAGGCUUGAUCCAAAAGGCGAGGUGAUGACGUCUUUUGGAAUGC
RNAcentral lists this long non-coding RNA (307 nucleotides) under Eucalyptus grandis. RNAcentral describes it as "long non-coding RNA (EGRA_LNC004036)". The record is from RNAcentral. Lineage: Eukaryota; Viridiplantae; Streptophyta; Magnoliopsida; Myrtales; Myrtaceae.